Small nuclear RNA from Pipistrellus kuhlii (Kuhl's pipistrelle), 159 nucleotides. RefSeq annotates it as U1 spliceosomal RNA. Lineage: Eukaryota; Metazoa; Chordata; Mammalia; Chiroptera; Vespertilionidae. The transcript has a single exon. The record is from RefSeq and is a predicted model, not a curated record.
AUACUUACCUGUCACGGGAAAUACCAUGAUCACAAAGGUGUUUUUCCCAGGGGGAGGCUUAUCCAUUGCACUCUGGAUAUGCUGACCCCUGCAGUUUCCCCAAAUGUGGGAAAUUCGACAGUUUGUGGUAGCGGAGGACUGUGUUCUCACUUACCGCUG